AGAGUUUGAUCAUGGCUCAGAUUGAACGCUGGCGGCAGGCCUAACACAUGCAAGUCGAGCGGUAGCACAGAGAGCUUGCUCUCGGGUGACGAGCGGCGGACGGGUGAGUAAUGUCUGGGAAACUGCCUGAUGGAGGGGGAUAACUACUGGAAACGGUAGCUAAUACCGCAUAACGUCGCAAGACCAAAGUGGGGGACCUUCGGGCCUCAUGCCAUCAGAUGUGCCCAGAUGGGAUUAGCUAGUAGGUGGGGUAACGGCUCACCUAGGCGACGAUCCCUAGCUGGUCUGAGAGGAUGACCAGCCACACUGGAACUGAGACACGGUCCAGACUCCUACGGGAGGCAGCAGUGGGGAAUAUUGCACAAUGGGCGCAAGCCUGAUGCAGCCAUGCCGCGUGUGUGAAGAAGGCCUUCGGGUUGUAAAGCACUUUCAGCGGGGAGGAAGGCGUGAGGUUAAUAACCUCAUCGAUUGACGUUACCCGCAGAAGAAGCACCGGCUAACUCCGUGCCAGCAGCCGCGGUAAUACGGAGGGUGCAAGCGUUAAUCGGAAUUACUGGGCGUAAAGCGCACGCAGGCGGUCUGUCAAGUCGGAUGUGAAAUCCCCGGGCUCAACCUGGGAACUGCAUUCGAAACUGGCAGGCUAGAGUCUUGUAGAGGGGGGUAGAAUUCCAGGUGUAGCGGUGAAAUGCGUAGAGAUCUGGAGGAAUACCGGUGGCGAAGGCGGCCCCCUGGACAAAGACUGACGCUCAGGUGCGAAAGCGUGGGGAGCAAACAGGAUUAGAUACCCUGGUAGUCCACGCCGUAAACGAUGUCGAUUUGGAGGUUGUGCCCUUGAGGCGUGGCUUCCGGAGCUAACGCGUUAAAUCGACCGCCUGGGGAGUACGGCCGCAAGGUUAAAACUCAAAUGAAUUGACGGGGGCCCGCACAAGCGGUGGAGCAUGUGGUUUAAUUCGAUGCAACGCGAAGAACCUUACCUGGUCUUGACAUCCACAGAACUUUCCAGAGAUGGAUUGGUGCCUUCGGGAACUGUGAGACAGGUGCUGCAUGGCUGUCGUCAGCUCGUGUUGUGAAAUGUUGGGUUAAGUCCCGCAACGAGCGCAACCCUUAUCCUUUGUUGCCAGCGGUCCGGCCGGGAACUCAAAGGAGACUGCCAGUGAUAAACUGGAGGAAGGUGGGGAUGACGUCAAGUCAUCAUGGCCCUUACGACCAGGGCUACACACGUGCUACAAUGGCAUAUACAAAGAGAAGCGACCUCGCGAGAGCAAGCGGACCUCAUAAAGUAUGUCGUAGUCCGGAUUGGAGUCUGCAACUCGACUCCAUGAAGUCGGAAUCGCUAGUAAUCGUAGAUCAGAAUGCUACGGUGAAUACGUUCCCGGGCCUUGUACACACCGCCCGUCACACCAUGGGAGUGGGUUGCAAAAGAAGUAGGUAGCUUAACCUUCGGGAGGGCGCUUACCACUUUGUGAUUCAUGACUGGGGUGAAGUCGUAACAAGGUAACCGUAGGGGAACCUGCGGUUGGAUCACCUCCUU
Molecule: ribosomal RNA, 1531 nt
Filed under: Klebsiella pneumoniae UHKPC04
Lineage: Bacteria; Pseudomonadati; Pseudomonadota; Gammaproteobacteria; Enterobacterales; Enterobacteriaceae
Description: bacterial SSU rRNA
Rfam family: Bacterial small subunit ribosomal RNA
Source: RNAcentral